GACGAACGCUGGCGGCGUGCUUAACACAUGCAAGUCGAACGGAAAGGCCCUGCUUUUUUGGUUUGCUCGAGUGGCGAACGGGUGAGUAACACGUGAGUAACCUGCCCUUUACUUUGGGAUAACUUCAGGUAACUUGGGCUAUUACCGUAUAGUAGCUCCUGCUGCAUGUUGGGGGUUGGAAAGUUUCGGCUGUUGGGUAUUGACUCGCGGCUUAUCAGCUUGUUGGUGGGGUAGUGGCUUACCAAGGCUUUGACGGGUAGCCGGAAUGAGAGGGUGACCGGAGAGAAUGGGACUGAGAGACGGACCAGAAUAGAACGGGAGGCAGCAGUGGGGAAUAUUGCAGAAUGGGAGGAAGACAGAUGCAGCAAAGCAGGGUGCGGGAUGACGGGAUUCGGGUUGUAAAAAGAUUUCGAAUGUGACGAAGAGUGAGUGACGGUAAUGGGUAAAGAAGCACCGGCUAACUACGUG
This 468-nucleotide ribosomal RNA is filed under the name uncultured bacterium. RNAcentral describes it as "partial 16S ribosomal RNA". It matches the Rfam family "Bacterial small subunit ribosomal RNA", at positions 28 to 507 of the family's 1533-position model. The record is from RNAcentral.